GAUGAACGCUGGCGGCGUGCCUAAUACGUGCAAGUCGAACGCUGGAGAUCUAGCUUGCUAGAUCGAAGGAGUGGCGAACGGGUGAGUAAUACAUAAGCAACCUACCCACGAAGACUGGGAUAAUCUCUGGAAACGGGGACUAAUACCGGAUAGGUAAUCGGAAGGCAUCUUCUGGUUAUUAAAGGUUAAAAACACUGGUGGAUGGGCUUAUGGCGCAUUAGUUAGUUGGUGAGGUAACGGCCCACCAAGACGAUGAUGCGUAGCCGGCCUGAGAGGGUGAACGGCCACAUUGGGACUGAGACACGGCCCAGACUCCUACGGGAGGCAGCAGUAGGGAAUUUUCGGCAAUGGGGGCAACCCUGACCGAGCAACGCCGCGUGAGUGAAGACGGCCUUCGGGUUGUAAAGCUCUGUUGUAAGGGAAGAACGGUAGAUAGAGAAUAUCUAAGUGACGGUACCUUACCAGAAAGCCACGGCUAACUACGUG
This 486-nucleotide ribosomal RNA is filed under the name uncultured bacterium. RNAcentral's name for it is "partial 16S ribosomal RNA". It matches the Rfam family "Bacterial small subunit ribosomal RNA", at positions 28 to 507 of the family's 1533-position model. The record is from RNAcentral.